Molecule: small nuclear RNA, 162 nt
Organism: Arvicola amphibius (Eurasian water vole)
Lineage: Eukaryota; Metazoa; Chordata; Mammalia; Rodentia; Cricetidae
Product: U1 spliceosomal RNA
Exons: 1
Source: RefSeq, a predicted model, not a curated record
AUACAUACUUAUCAGUGAGAUACAAAUAUCAUGUACGUGGGUUUCAUGGGGUGAGGCGAAGUCAUUACACUCAGGAUGUGCUAACCCUUGCAAUUUUCCAACCUUUGGAAACUCGACUACACAAUUUAUGGUAGUGGUGAACUGUAUUCAUACUCCCUUCUU